CCAAAAAUACAGGAAAAGAUAACAAGUAAGGUGAAAGGCUGCUUAUUUAGCCACGCAAAUUUGCCUACGAGCUUUUUGUUGCGCAAGCCGCAACAUUAGCAUUUAAGGGGGAAAAGCGCCCUUCCUUUAGUAGGGAAAAGCUUGCUAUUUCUUUUUUUUUGGUGAACUACCUUAGCCUUGUGGCGUAAGCGACUUCCGUUGCUUCACCCAAAGCCUGUUUGAAGAAAUAGAAGCGAUGCCUUUUGGCAACGCUUGUUGCAAGCAGCAAGUAGAAAAGAGACAUAGUGGCAACCAAAAAGAAAAGGGAGUUUCUUAAUAAGAAAUAAUUAAAUAACAUAAGAAAUGAGCUCUUUGUAGCUAAGAAAAAGAUCCUUUUGGCGCAGCAGCUGCUAGCUACGCUGGCCAACAUUUGUAGUUA
This 418-nucleotide long non-coding RNA is filed under the name Amborella trichopoda. Its description in RNAcentral is "long non-coding RNA (ATRI_LNC001232)". Lineage: Eukaryota; Viridiplantae; Streptophyta; Magnoliopsida; Amborellales; Amborellaceae. The record is from RNAcentral.